AGGAAACCUUGAUUUCCUCCCAGGCUGAGCACUCCCCCGCUGUUGGAGGGAGGAGUGUCUCACACCAGGUUCCCGCUUUUGCUGAAACCAGCAAAGGGGCAAGACCCACGGCCGACAUUCACCACCCUGAGGCCAGAGCUGGACCUGACUUCUGACUCAGAGAUUGGCAAAUCAGAGGCCAUCAGAGCAGAGGGACCCCGAGUUCGUAUCUGGGAUUUACUGCGGAGGACACUGAGACCCAGGGGAGUCUGAACCGUUCAGAGGCCUCAGCGAAUGAUGAGUCAGGGUAGGAGGAGGCAGGGCUCAGGACCUCCAUCUCCUGCAUCCCUGUGGGUGGCUGUGAAUGCAGAUACUCUACAUUUUCAACUUUACAAAAUGGUGAUGAGCAUAUUUCCCAACUUCUUGAAGUGUCUGGGGAUAGUCAAUUUCAGGAACACUUUGAAAAUGCACUGGUUACCAUGACAUCAUUACUACGCUUGACUUGUUGAUCCUUAAGAAAUUGGAGCUUUCUUGCUUGAGCUACUUUUGUGUGUUUUUUGUAUAGAUGAAAAGGUUUACUUGAAAUCUCCUGGGGAGCAAUUAUGGUUCAGGUUUAGCUUAAUGCGUUUGAACCUGGGACCUUCUGAGAAUGAGUUGGAGGCUGCUGUAACCUCCUCCCCAGCAUCUUUAGCCAAUACCCUGCCCUGUGACACAUGGCCUGCACCAAGGAGAUGGAUCCCUGGCACUCACCUAUCCAGACUCCAUCCUGAACAUCUGACCUCCACCCAUCCCAUGAUCUGCUCCCCGCCUGUUCCUGACCUCAUCAGUUCCUGAUACCCAGGUACUGCUCAAGAGGGAAGUGCAAGUCCACGAUGCCAGCUAAGACCACACCUGGCCCAGGACCUUGCUUUUUGUUGUCUUAAAGCCUUUUUGUACCUGUUUGCUAGUAACAAUUAGAGGAGGACAGGGUGCUCUGGUCCUGGGAGAGAUGCUGCUGUGAAUGGACAGAGCACAGUGGGCUCAUGGGCUGGGGUCCUGGCUCUGCUAAUAAUGCUGUGUGGGGCUAGGAGGACUCCAGAACUGCCCCAGGGUUAGGGGUGGGGCAUUAAACUGUGACUGGACAGCUCCACAUCUGGUGUCUGUAAGCAUCAAAUGAGAAGAUGAAACACGUGUGAGCAGGAGGUGGUUUAUAUAGGUAACAAAGCAUUAUUUCUGUUGUAACAGAACCAUCUAGAGACAGAACAGAUGCUACAGAUCAGGUUGGCUGACUCCCAGUGAUAUUCCAGGAACCUAGGAACUAACUGGCGUAGAGGAAGACUGGAAGCUCCCCAAGAGCAGGACAUCUCUUUUCCCCAGCACCUGGGGCAGCCCCUCUGGCAUCGUGGUGCUCAGGAAAUAGUGGCCUAGUGGAUGGAUGGAUGAACUGGAGUCACACAGACCUGGAGCCCACAGGAAAGGGAGUUGUAUUUGCUAGAACCCACCUUUCCUAAGGACAGAUAUGGUGGCUACAACAAUGUGGCAAAUGACAGGACUGAAACAGGAUGGGUACCAGGGGGCUCUAGCCUGCUCUGGGGACUUGGAGAAGGCUUCUUGUUGAAGCUGGCACCUGAGUGCCAGUGCCAGUGUUGAGGUGGGUCAAGGCUAGCGAGGGGAAGGAGGCAGAAAGGGCAGCCAGAGAGAACGGGAUGAGCAAGGGCAAACACACAGAGGCAGGAGACAGCAUGGGUGGUGCAGGAAACUUCACUCCUUGCUGGAUUGCCAAGUGCAGAUCACUUGGUAGAAGUGGCUGCUGGAGAGGUUAAUUGGGGCCAAGACCCGGAAGGCGUGGUGUGCCUGGCCUUUCUUCCCCAGUGAGGGGCCAGCCUCGGACAUUUGAGAGCAAGGGCGUGACUUGGUCAUAUUUCAUUUAUGGAGAGCAUGUGGUUGCCCUGUGGAGAGGAGAUCUAAGGCAGUAGUUCACAAACCCUAUGCAAUGAUCACCUGGGGAGCAUCUAAAAGGCAUUGAAUCUAGAUGCUACCCCAGACAAAGUCAGAAUUUCUGGGGAUCAGGCCCAGGCACUGUUUUCUUUUUAAUUGAAGCUAACAUACAUAUAGAAACAAAUAUAGAAAAUGAGUCACUGAUAAAUUAUGACAAAAUGAACAUACUUACAUAGUCAGCAUCCAGGUAAGGAACAGAAUACGAUCAACACUCAAAAGCUCCCUCCUGCUCUCUUCUAGCACUAUCCACGUCCCAAUAAGACCAUGUAUAUAUCUGCUUGUUUUUGAAAUUUAUAUAUAUAGUUGUAUGUUGUUAAAGUUUUAGUCUCAUUGCUGUGAGGUUAUUCUAUUGCAUGAAUGUGCUGUUUGUUUACACAUUCUGCUACUGGUAGACAUUUGGGGGUCAUGAAUAGUGCUGCUAUGAAAACUCUUGUCCAUCUUUUGGUGAAAUGUGUGUAUACCUUUCUGUUGGGGAUAUACAUGGGAGUAGAAUUGUUGGGUCAUAGGGAAUACGUGUGUUCAGCUUUAGUAGAUAUACAAAGUGGUUGUAGGUAUUCAUUAUUUUUAAGAGCCCCCAAAUAACUGUAAUACACAGCCAGAGCUGUUUUAACAGCUAUAAGCCUUGGAGAUAGGGACGCCAAUUAGGAGGCUAGCAUUGUCUCCUGAUUUGUGUUAGGGGAGAUGCCCAGGGAGAUGUCAAUGUUAGAAGAGAUUAAGAUUUCCACAAAAGAGGGAGCAGGCAGCAGUGGAGGAAUAGUUAUCAGAAAAGAGGCAGCGAGACUGUUGGUAAGAAGAAAAAAGAAAAAGGAAGAGAAAAACAUGCCCUAGUGCUGUUUUAGUUUCUGGCUUUGCAAAAGUCUCUGAAAAAGGAGGCAAAAACUGUUCCUAGAGGAGGGGCAUGAGCUAGAAUAGUUUCAAGAGCGUCUGUUGCCACAGUGGGGCACCCAGGGUAUCAGCCAAAGCCUGCAGACACUAUGUCAUAGGACUCUAAUUAUGAGACAUGAAUUCACUGGUUACACAUGUGCUUAUCAGGCUGGUGCUGUAGCCAGGAUGCUUGGUGAUUAGACCUGAGUUCUAAUCCUUGUUCUGCCACUUGCUGGCUGUUUAACCCUUCACAAAUUGUUCCAUGUCUCUGUAUUUUAGUUACAGAGCAUUCUGGCUUGAUGACCUACCUCUAAGAUCCUCUCCAGUCCUAUUGGUUUGUCACUUAUUUUAUGUCACUCUAGGGGUGAAAUUCCAGGAAGAAGAUGACCUGAGAAGUUGGCACGAUGCUGUAGGUUUAUAUCUGAGAUGCUUUUGGAGGAAAACACUGGACUAUGUAAUUAUUCCCACAAGUCAUAUAGCACAGGAUAACAUACUCGUAGAUUGUUUUAGAUCUAAAUCCCUUCCACUUGCUUUUAUGAAACAGAAGCAUUUAAUGGGAAGACCUACUGAGCUGCUUUGGAAGAGAAAGGCCAGAACUACUUUAAAUCGUGCAGAAUGAGACAGGUGGGUCCUGUAAUGCUCAAGUCAUCAAUAUGGCCAUCGGUCCCAGGAGACUCCAAAUACCCCCAGAUACAGAUACGGCGGAUGGCCAGUGUGUACAUAGUCAUUCAGUCAUGUCCGACUCUUUGUGAUCUCAUGGACUGUAACCUGCCAAGCUCCUCUGUCCAUGGAAUUUU
Odocoileus virginianus texanus is the source of this 3617-nucleotide non-coding RNA. NCBI's taxonomy places the organism in Eukaryota, Metazoa, Chordata, Mammalia, Artiodactyla, Cervidae. The record is from RefSeq and is a predicted model, not a curated record.